GACGAACGCUGGCGGCGUGCUUAACACAUGCAAGUCGAACGGAAAGGCCCUGCUUUUGUGGGGUGCUCGAGUGGCGAACGGGUGAGUAACACGUGAGUAACCUGCCCUUGACUUUGGGAUAACUUCAGGAAACUGGGGCUAAUACCGGAUAGGAGCUCCUGCUGCAUGGUGGGGGUUGGAAAGUUUCGGCGGUUGGGGAUGGACUCGCGGCUUAUCAGCUUGUUGGUGGGGUAGUGGCUUACCAAGGCUUUGACGGGUAGCCGGCCUGAGAGGGUGACCGGCCACAUUGGGACUGAGAUACGGCCCAGACUCCUACGGGAGGCAGCAGUGGGGAAUAUUGCACAAUGGGCGGAAGCCUGAUGCAGCAACGCCGCGUGCGGGAUGACGGCCUUCGGGUUGUAAACCGCUUUCGCCUGUGACGAAGCGUGAGUGACGGUAAUGGGUAAAGAAGCACCGGCUAACUACGUGCCAGCAGCCGCGGUGAUACGUAGGGUGCGAGCGUUGUCCGGAUUUAUUGGGCGUAAAGGGCUCGUAGGUGGUUGAUCGCGUCGGAAGUGUAAUCUCGGGGCUUAACCCUGAGCGUGCUUUCGAUACGGGUUGACUUGAGGAAGGUAGGGGAGAAUGGAAUUCCUGGUGGAGCGGUGGAAUGCGCAGAUAUCAGGAGGAACACCAGUGGCGAAGGCGGUUCUCUGGGCCUUUCCUGACGCUGAGGAGCGAAAGCGUGGGGAGCGAACAGGCUUAGAUACCCUGGUAGUCCACGCUGUAAACGGUGGGUACUAGGUGUGGGGUCCAUUCCACGGGUUCCGUGCCGUAGCUAACGCUUUAAGUACCCCGCCUGGGGAGUACGGCCGCAAGGCUAAAACUCAAAGGAAUUGACGGGGCCCCGCACAAGCGGCGGAGCAUGCGGAUUAAUUCGAUGCAACGCGUAGAACCUUACCUGGGUUUGACAUGGAUCGGGAGUGCUCAGAGAUGGGUGUGCCUCUUUUGGGGUCGGUUCACAGGUGGUGCAUGGCUGUCGUCAGCUCGUGUCGUGAGAUGUUGGGUUAAGUCCCGCAACGAGCGCAACCCUUGUUCACUGUUGCCAGCACGUUAUGGUGGGGACUCAGUGGAGACCGCCGGGGUCAACUCGGAGGAAGGUGGGGAUGACGUCAAGUCAUCAUGCCCCUUAUGUCCAGGGCUUCACGCAUGCUACAAUGGCUGGUACAGAGAGUGGCGAGCCUGUGAGGGUGAGCGAAUCUCGGAAAGCCGGUCUCAGUUCGGAUUGGGGUCUGCAACUCGACCUCAUGAAGUCCGAGUCGCUAGUAAUCGCAGAUCAGCAACGCUGCGGUGAAUACGUUCCCGGG
This 1343-nucleotide ribosomal RNA is filed under the name uncultured bacterium. RNAcentral's name for it is "16S ribosomal RNA". It matches the Rfam family "Bacterial small subunit ribosomal RNA", at positions 28 to 1378 of the family's 1533-position model. The record is from RNAcentral.